UUUAAUUUGAUGCUAAAUAGAUAAAACAUUAUGUGAUUAUGCAUCAUGACCACCAUUGAAUUUGAUGAGAUAAAUUUGGACUCAUCAAGCAAUCCAUCACAUCAGAACACCACCGCUUAUUUAUAUUUUGGGGCAUGGGCAUUGGCAAGAUAAGAGCUUAAAACACAUUUUGGUUUAUUAAGAGCUUAAGAUGAGAUGUAUAUAAAAUGAGAAAUAAAUUCGUUUGGCAGCUGGAAUGUAGUUGUUGUCAGGAAUCAAAAUCACUUUUGUUCACUCACUCAUUCAUUCAUUCCUCUCACAAAGAGGAUUCGAGAAGAGAAUGGUAAUUAAGUAACAAACAACAUCAACAUGAACCGUUCAAUUCACCUGCCACUUCCUCUUUAAAUAAAUUCAUCUGCCACUUGCUUUGCUUCAAUGCUUCAACGAGCCCACUCAAAUUACAAAAGAAAGAUCAACUUCGAUCAAGUGAAAAUUUAAUCGAUGACUAUGACAUUUUCAUCGAUGACUAUGACAUUUUCAACUUUACAUCUCGAAGACAGAUAUUUCAGACAUCUCAAUUUUCUCUUAUUUGUAGACUUUGCCACUUUUAUAAAAAUAUUUUUCUAUUUUAUGCUUUUAAUCUAAAUAUUGUAAAUUUAUUCACAAAUUCAUCUUUUUUUAUUUUAUUUUAACACCUGAAUUGUAAUGUUCGUAAUCAAUGUAAUUUUUAUAAUUUAAAUGAAUGAAUAUCAUUUUGCGUACUUGUGUACAUAUGUUUUGAAAGAAAA
Molecule: long non-coding RNA, 767 nt
Organism: Cicer arietinum (chickpea)
Lineage: Eukaryota; Viridiplantae; Streptophyta; Magnoliopsida; Fabales; Fabaceae
Source: RefSeq, a predicted model, not a curated record